RNAcentral lists this long non-coding RNA (2124 nucleotides) under Oncorhynchus kisutch (coho salmon). RNAcentral describes it as "lncRNA (ENSOKIG00005027599.1)". Lineage: Eukaryota; Metazoa; Chordata; Actinopteri; Salmoniformes; Salmonidae. The record is from RNAcentral.
UCUGCUAACAGCAGCACGCCACAUUCUGUUCUCUGGGCUCUAUUUCCACCGGUGACGGAUUGUAUAAAUGGGAGAGAUUGUAUUUACAGUGUGUUGGCAGAGCUUAUUGUGUCUGAGGCAGCGCUAGUCCAAUAAUCAUCAGAGCCACAGCCACAAAUCUUCAUUAGCCGAUUAGCAGAGAGCGAGAGACAGCUUGUGUUCUUUUUCCUAUAUUUGUGAGCCUGUAUGUGUAUGUGCUUGUGUGUGUGUGUCACCUUUCCUCCCUCCCUCCUGUCUCCUUUACUUAAUCUUGAACCUAUAAAGUGUAAACUUGACCCCUACAGUGCCACCUUCUUACCUGAGUCACACACGCACGCUCACACUCACACUCUCUCACACACUCACACACGCACACAUGCACACACGCACACGCACACACACACACUUGUUAUGUUGUUCCCUGAAGGAGCAUCGGCAGCCAAGUGGGCAUCAAGACACAAGACAGAACAAAUUAAGGUCACAGCGGGAACAUCCAAGCCAGAAAACCACAGGAGGGCAGAGCACAGUGACUCACCUGGAGCCUGUUGUGUUGGACCCAUCACAUGUUCUGUAAAAGGGAGCCGUUGGGAGGAUCUAUUUCAGAUCACUUUGAGGUGUAAUAGCUCAAUCUCACAGCACAGGGCACUUACAGGUCUCCUGUCUCACUCUUGCCGCGGGUCAAAGGAAGGGAAGGACUCUACCGAAUGCCAAUAAAGCCUGCAGCAGGGUGACCUUGACAGCAGGUAACCUCACAGGGUGCUCCUGCUGCGACACGGGCACAAAGGAGGUGUGUGUUUUGUGUUCGCGUGUCUUUGUGUGUGUGUGUGUGUGUGCAAUCCAUCACUGCAGGGCUACAGCAGGGUGACCUUGACAGCAGGGAACCUCACAGGGUGCUCCUUCUACUGCCACGACACGGGCACAAAGGAGGUGUGUGUGUGUGUUGAUACAGUAACAGCAGAGGACCGAACACCACACAGAGACCAAGUCCAGCAGGUCGUGUUGGUGUGGCGAUGAUGACGCAGGCGAAGAAGUCCAUGGUCAUCAAUGAUUUAUCUCCCUGUGUUGUGAUGCGAGGGGGGGGGGGGGGUGAAGCUGCGCUCUAUGACAGAUGUGGAGGGGUAUGCAUGGUGCAGAAUGAACUCCGUCUCCUUCUCAUCCCGCCCGGAGCUUCACUGAUGCUCUGUUACCCUUCAAUUGCCCCUCUGUUGUCUCCGGUCUCCCGACAUUACCCCGUCACCGCCCGAGCUCAUAAAGCCACAUUCUCUCGUUCUCUCUUCUCCUUUUUUCUCGCACUUACUCUUUCAUAGCUGCAUUUACCUAUUCUUUUAUCCUCCCCUUUGCCUACCUGUUCUCUCUCUCUAUCUCUUCCUAUCUCUCUCUCUCUCUCUCUUUCUCUCUCUCUCUCUCAGCCUCUCAGCCUCUCAGCCUCUAUAAUUUUUCAGAAACAAUCAGUGGAGUUUCCAUUUCACUGCCCAGCACUGCCGCAGUCUGAGACGUGGUACUGGGAUGGAGGGAGGAGGGAGGAAUAGAGGGAGCAACGCCACAUCUGCCUGUCCUCGAAUGGAAGAGGGAUGCAUACACACAGACAUGCGCACACAAAGCCACACACACACACAUACAAGCCACACAGACACAGGUAACUACCAAAGUAAUGAAAACACAAGUAAAUGAGGGCUACAAAGUAUAUUGAAAGCAGGUGCUUCCCCACAGGUGUGGUUUUUGAGCUAAUUACAGUUUACCCCAAUUGUUAACACACGUUUGCUGAAACAACUUCUCAGGCUCUCAAAACUCUAAACACAAAACAUAAAACAGUUUUCCCCAAACCCCACAGACAUCUUGCAAUAUGAAACACAGCAAUCAAAAUCAUGUACUCCCUGCUCAAAAUGAAACUCUGCAUACAAAUGAGACACACACACACACUAACUUAGUGACAACCGAGAUCACACUAAUGUGAUAUAUUGAAAACACUGCUAUCAGAACCUAUUUCAGUGUAAAGACUAAGAUUGUGUUCUUAUACUGUAUACUGUUUGUGUUUACUCUAACAAGAAAGGAACACAAAUGCAAAAUUUUUUGUUUCAAAUCUCAACAUGACUUAAUAUAUGUCAA